UAUUCAUUUUCCUUGAAGAAGAAUGUUAAGAAUCAAAUAGACUCAUUUGCUGUGGACAUGACCAUAAAAAAUUCUCCCACUAGGUUUUCUGUAUGCUUUGUUAGCAGUCACUGGGGAGACUA
RNAcentral lists this small nucleolar RNA (122 nucleotides) under Castor canadensis (American beaver). RNAcentral's name for it is "Small nucleolar RNA SNORA32 (ENSCCNG00000019775.1)". Lineage: Eukaryota; Metazoa; Chordata; Mammalia; Rodentia; Castoridae. The record is from RNAcentral.